CCUACGGGCGGCAGCAGUGGGGAAUAUUCCACAAUGGGGGAAACCCUGAUGCAGCAACGCCGCGUGGUGGAAGAAGUCUUUCGGUAUGUAAACUUCUAUCAGCAGGGAAGAAAAUGGCGGUACCUGACUAAGAAGCUUCGGCUAACUACGUGCCAGCAGCCGCGGUCAUACGUAGGGGGCAAGCGUUAUCCGGAUUUACUGGGUGUAAAGGGAGCGUAGGCGGUUUAGCAAGUCAGAAGUGAAAGCCCUGGGCGCAACUCGAGGAGUGCUUUUGAAACUGGGGAACUUGAUUGCAGGAGAGGUGAGUGGAAUUCCAAGUGUAGCGGUGAAAUGCGUAGAUAUAAGGAGGAACACCAGUGGCGAAGGCGGCUUACUGGACUGUAAAUGACGCUGAGGUUCGAAAGCGUGGGUAGCAAACAGGAUUAGAUACCCGUGUAGUC
RNAcentral lists this ribosomal RNA (440 nucleotides) under uncultured bacterium. RNAcentral describes it as "partial 16S ribosomal RNA". It matches the Rfam family "Bacterial small subunit ribosomal RNA", at positions 338 to 795 of the family's 1533-position model. The record is from RNAcentral.